UUAAGCGACUAAGCGUACACGGUGGAUGCCCUGGCAGUCAGAGGCGAUGAAGGACGUGCUAAUCUGCGAAAAGCGUCGGUAAGGUGAUAUGAACCGUUAUAGCCGGCGAUGUCCGAAUGGGGAAACCCAGUGCAAUUCGUUGCACUAUCGUUAACUGAAUACAUAGGUUAACGAGGCGAACCGGGGGAACUGAAACAUCUAAGUACCCCGAGGAAAAGAAAUCAACCGAGAUUCCCCCAGUAGCGGCGAGCGAACGGGGAGCAGCCCAGAGUCUGAAUCAGCUUGUGUGUUAGUGGAACGGUCUGGAAAGUCCGACGGUACAGGGUGAUAGUCCCGUACACCAAAAUGCACAGGCUGUGAACUCGAAGAGUAGGGCGGGACACGUGGUAUCCUGUCUGAAUAUGGGGGGACCAUCCUCCAAGGCUAAAUACUCCUGACUGACCGAUAGUGAACCAGUACCGUGAGGGAAAGGCGAAAAGAACCCCGGCGAGGGGAGUGAAAAAGAACCUGAAACCGUGUACGUACAAGCAGUGGGAGCACCUUCGGGUGUGACUGCGUACCUUUUGUAUAAUGGGUCAGCGACUUAUAUUCUGUAGCAAGGUUAACCGUAUAGGGGAGCCGCAGGGAAACCGAGUCUUAACUGGGCGUUAAGUUGCAGGGUAUAGACCCGAAACCCGGUGAUCUAGCCAUGGGCAGGUUGAAGGUUGGGUAACACUAACUGGAGGACCGAACCGACUAAUGUUGAAAAAUUAGCGGAUGACUUGUGGCUGGGGGUGAAAGGCCAAUCAAACCGGGAGAUAGCUGGUUCUCCCCGAAAGCUAUUUAGGUAGCGCCUCGUGAACUCAUCUUCGGGGGUAGAGCACUGUUUCGGCUAGGGGGUCAUCCCGACUUACCAACCCGAUGCAAACUACGAAUACCGAAGAAUGUUAUCACGGGAGACACACGGCGGGUGCUAACGUCCGUCGUGAAGAGGGAAACAACCCAGACCGCCAGCUAAGGUCCCAAAGUCAUGGUUAAGUGGGAAACGAUGUGGGAAGGCACAGACAGCCAGGAUGUUGGCUUAGAAGCAGCCAUCAUUUAAAGAAAGCGUAAUAGCUCACUGGUCGAGUCGGCCUGCGCGGAAGAUGUAACGGGGCUAAACCAUGCACCGAAGCUGCGGCAGCGACACUAUGUGUUGUUGGGUAGGGGAGCGUUCUGUAAGCCUGCGAAGGUGACCUGUGAGGGUUGCUGGAGGUAUCAGAAGUGCGAAUGCUGACAUAAGUAACGAUAAAGCGGGUGAAAAGCCCGCUCGCCGGAAGACCAAGGGUUCCUGUCCAACGUUAAUCGGGGCAGGGUGAGUCGACCCCUAAGGCGAGGCCGAAAGGCGUAGUCGAUGGGAAACAGGUUAAUAUUCCUGUACUUGGUGUUACUGCGAAGGGGGGACGGAGAAGGCUAUGUUAGCCGGGCGACGGUUGUCCCGGUUUAAGCAUGUAGGCUGGUUGUCCAGGCAAAUCCGGAUAAUCAAGGCUGAGGUGUGAUGACGAGGCACUACGGUGCUGAAGUAACAAAUGCCCUGCUUCCAGGAAAAGCCUCUAAGCAUCAGGUAACAUUAAAUCGUACCCCAAACCGACACAGGUGGUCAGGUAGAGAAUACCAAGGCGCUUGAGAGAACUCGGGUGAAGGAACUAGGCAAAAUGGUGCCGUAACUUCGGGAGAAGGCACGCUGGUGUGUAGGUGAAGUCCCUGCGGAUGGAGCUGAGACCAGUCGAAGAUACCAGCUGGCUGCAACUGUUUAUUAAAAACACAGCACUGUGCAAACACGAAAGUGGACGUAUACGGUGUGACGCCUGCCCGGUGCCGGAAGGUUAAUUGAUGGGGUUAUCCGUAAGGAGAAGCUCUUGAUCGAAGCCCCGGUAAACGGCGGCCGUAACUAUAACGGUCCUAAGGUAGCGAAAUUCCUUGUCGGGUAAGUUCCGACCUGCACGAAUGGCGUAAUGAUGGCCAGGCUGUCUCCACCCGAGACUCAGUGAAAUUGAACUCGCUGUGAAGAUGCAGUGUACCCGCGGCAAGACGGAAAGACCCCGUGAACCUUUACUAUAGCUUGACACUGAACAUUGAGCCUUGAUGUGUAGGAUAGGUGGGAGGCUUUGAAGCGUGGACGCCAGUCUGCGUGGAGCCAACCUUGAAAUACCACCCUUUAAUGUUUGAUGUUCUAACGUUGGCCCCUUACCGGGGUUGCGGACAGUGUCUGGUGGGUAGUUUGACUGGGGCGGUCUCCUCCCAAAGCGUAACGGAGGAGCACGAAGGUUAGCUAAUCCUGGUCGGACAUCAGGAGGUUAGUGCAAUGGCAUAAGCUAGCUUGACUGCGAGCGUGACGGCGCGAGCAGGUGCGAAAGCAGGUCAUAGUGAUCCGGUGGUUCUGAAUGGAAGGGCCAUCGCUCAACGGAUAAAAGGUACUCCGGGGAUAACAGGCUGAUACCGCCCAAGAGUUCAUAUCGACGGCGGUGUUUGGCACCUCGAUGUCGGCUCAUCACAUCCUGGGGCUGAAGUAGGUCCCAAGGGUAUGGCUGUUCGCCAUUUAAAGUGGUACGCGAGCUGGGUUUAGAACGUCGUGAGACAGUUCGGUCCCUAUCUGCCGUGGGCGCUGGAGAAUUGAGGGGGGCUGCUCCUAGUACGAGAGGACCGGAGUGGACGCAUCACUGGUGUUCGGGUUGUCAUGCCAAUGGCACUGCCCGGUAGCUAAAUGCGGAAGAGAUAAGUGCUGAAAGCAUCUAAGCACGAAACUUGCCCCGAGAUGAGUUCUCCCUGAGACUUUAAGUCUCCUGAAGGAACGUUGAAGACGACGACGUUGAUAGGCCGGGUGUGUAAGCGCAGCGAUGCGUUGAGCUAACCGGUACUAAUGAACCGUGAGGCUUAACCU
This 2899-nucleotide ribosomal RNA is filed under the name Klebsiella pneumoniae subsp. pneumoniae. Its description in RNAcentral is "23S ribosomal RNA". It matches the Rfam family "Bacterial large subunit ribosomal RNA". Lineage: Bacteria; Pseudomonadati; Pseudomonadota; Gammaproteobacteria; Enterobacterales; Enterobacteriaceae. The record is from RNAcentral.